AUGAGGAAACUGAGAUGCACACACGGUAGCAUUCAGGACAGUGGAAGGCCGAGAUGGAGACGCCCGCCCCAGCCACUGCCGCAGAGAAGAAGCCAGAAGUGGGAUCCUGGAGACCCCAGCAGCGAAAAGGCCUCUCGUCUCGCAGCGGCUGCAGCGGCCCCGGCGGCUGCCCAAGCACAGGUGUAUGAGAUGAGACGACUGACUGCCUGCUCAAGCUGGAGCCUGGAGCCCCAGUUCUGUGUCCGGAGAACGCAAGAGCGCCAAUCCAUCUCGGGGGCGCAGCCAUUUUACUGUUAGAUUUGGAAGAAAGAGCCCCUCAGUGGGGACCGUCACUCCUCCCCCGGAAGAGAAGGAUGUUCCAGGGGUGGCAGGUGGGCCCCACCAUUGGUUAUGCACAAGCUCCGGCGCGGGCCUCUCCUAGGCCAUUUCCAAGGUUAGCAGCCAUCCUAGAAAGUCCUUGAGGGCUGAGCAAACUGGACACGGCAGCAGGUAGCAACCACACAAGACACAGUCCUGGGCUCGUCCAGGUUCCUCCCAUAGAAGGGAGGCAUUGCUACCGUGGUGGUGAACAGGAUCACCUCUAAACUCCAGAUAUCAGCCUUGAAGGUGUCCUAGUCCUCCGGCAGAAAUGCUCAAGGGGCACAGGACUGUGGGGUCCCGCAAAACCUGCUCACCAGUUGUCCUUCAGCCAGCUGUCAGCUCAUCCUAAAGUCUGCCAGUUUGAUAGUCUUGUGCACGCCCAAUAGCAGAUUGUCCAGCUUCAGGUCCCUAUGUGCCAGGCAGCUUGCAUGGCAGUAGUGCACAGCCGGCAGGGUCUGGUUGAACGUGGACCUGACCUGGGCCUCCCGCAAGCAGCCCUGCAGCAUCACCUAGGCCAGAGAUGGCUCCUGCUCACGAGCUCUGUCACUAGACACGCAUGCUUAUGUGUGUGCCUCACCUCCAGGAGCUGGACGAUGCUCUCAUGAUGUAGGGUCUUCGUGACAGCCACUGCUUCCUCCGGAUUCAGUGAGCUGAAGGGCCUGAUGUUUUGUGGCGCUUUCUCCUCCAGAUUCCUUGAGCUAAAGGGCUUGCUGCAGUUCUGCCUAGCACUUUGACAGCCACGUGCUUCUCAGCUGCAAAGUGGAAUGGGAGCUUCACCAGGCUGCAGCUGCCCGGGCAGACGGUGUACAGGAUGUGGAACCCAUCAAGAGCAUAAACUUCAUGCUAGAAGGCCCAGGGCCUUCCAUCCUGGGAUCCACAUAUCUACGCUAUCUAAAGACUACCCUCUCUAAACUACUCUGUCAACAAAUACUAACUAAUCCACUACCCUUACCUCAAUAUCUAAUAAAAAGGAAGGGAUAACAAGGGGACUGCUAAUA
RNAcentral lists this long non-coding RNA (1358 nucleotides) under Oryctolagus cuniculus (rabbit). Its description in RNAcentral is "lncRNA (ENSOCUG00000032650.1)". The record is from RNAcentral. Lineage: Eukaryota; Metazoa; Chordata; Mammalia; Lagomorpha; Leporidae.